AAGUCGUAACAAGGUUUCCGUAGGUGAACCUGCGGAAGGAUCAUUACUGAGGUUUUAAUUUGCUGGCGCAAGCUGGGAAAGGACCCGACCUAUUGUCAUUUGCACGUUGAGGAGGAACGGUAGUUGUGUGGCGUUGUGUGGGUUGUGAGGGAUGUACCCGAGAGGGUGGAUCCGGAACGGCCCGUGGAUGCGCUGGCGCUGCCGCCUCGACGAAGGUGAACUUCGGCGGAAGAGGCAGACUGGAUCUGCCCGCCGCCGGCCGUAACUAUUUCCACUCUAGAAGGAGAAUCUGAAGCCUGAUGUACAAAAACGAAAUGAAAAGCAAAACUUUCAACAACGGAUCUCUUGGCUCUGGCAACGAUGAAGAACGCAGCGAAACGCGAAAGGUAAUGCGAAUUGCAGAAUCAGUGAGUCAUCGAAUCUUUGAACGCACAUUGCGCCUCUCGGUAUUCCGGGAGGCACGCCUGUUCGAGCGCCAUUACACACCCCAAGCGUGGCUUGAUGUUGGACGCUGUCUGUUACAGGACAGGUCUGGAACGGGUGGGCGCCGUCGCCGGACCACGAGCGUAGCAAGACGCAAGUCAUCGCUCUGUGGACUCUGGUGGACGGUGGUCGUGAUGGCGGGUAACACCGACAUGGAACUUUACAAGUUUGGCCUCGGAUCAGGCGGGGAUACCCGCUGAACUUAAGCAUAUCAUAAGCGGAGGAAAAGAAACCAACAGGGAUUGCCCCAGUAACGGCGAGUGAAGCGGCAACAGCUCAAAUUUGAAAUCUGGCGUCGUUGUGGCGUCCGAGUUGUAAUUUGCAGAGGGAGUCUCGGAGGGCGGGUCGGUCCAAGUGCCUUGGAACAGGAUACCAAAGAGGGUGAGAGUCCCGUAUCCGGCCGAUGCUGCGCUCCGUGUGAGACCCCUUCGACGAGUCGAGUUGUUUGGGAAUGCAGCUCUAAGCGGGUGGUAAAUUCCAUCUAAAGCUAAAUACCGGCCAGAGACCGAUAGCGAACAAGUAGAGUGAUCGAAAGAUGAAAGGCACUUUGAAAAGAGAGUCAAACAGUACGUGAAAUUGUUGAAAGGGAAGCGCAUGGGGGCAGACUUGGACGCGGGGUUCAGGACGUCGUUUGACGUGUGUACUUCCCCGCGGACAGGCCAGCAUCGGUUUCGGGGGCCGGAUAAAGACGAGAGGAAUGUGGCUCUCCUCGGAGAGUGUUAUAGCCUGACGUGCAAUGCGGCCACCUGGGACCGAGGACCGCGCUUCGGCAAGGAUGCUGGCGUAAUGGCCUCAUGCGGC
RNAcentral lists this ribosomal RNA (1284 nucleotides) under uncultured fungus. Its description in RNAcentral is "eukaryotic LSU rRNA". The stretch from base 653 to 1284 matches the Rfam family "Eukaryotic large subunit ribosomal RNA", at positions 1 to 648 of the family's 3401-position model. The record is from RNAcentral. Lineage: Eukaryota; Fungi.